GAUGAAGAACGUAGCGAAAUGCGAUACGUAGUGUGAAUUGCAGAAUUCAGUGAAUCAUCGAAUCUUUGAACGCACAUUGCCCUCUCGGUAUUCCGGGAGGUAUGCCUGUUCGAGCGUCAUUUGUACCCUCAAGCUCUGCUUGGUGUUGGGUGUUUGUUCCGCCUCUGUGUGUGAACUCGCCUCAAAACAAUUGGCAGCCGGCGUACUUGUUUCGGAGCGCAGCACAUUUUGCGAUCCAGAUCAACGUACAGCGGCAUCCAAGAAGCCUUAUUUAACGCUCUUGACCUCGGAUCAGGUAGGGAUACCCGCUGAACUUAAGCAUAUCAAUAAGCGGAGGA
RNAcentral lists this unclassified non-coding RNA (338 nucleotides) under soil metagenome. Its description in RNAcentral is "partial contains 5.8S ribosomal RNA, internal transcribed spacer 2, and large subunit ribosomal RNA". The stretch from base 1 to 119 matches the Rfam family "5.8S ribosomal RNA", at positions 35 to 154 of the family's 154-position model. The record is from RNAcentral.